UCCAUCAUCUACAUUUUUAUCAUAAUCCAAUUGUUUAUUAUUGAAAGUUUAGACAAUUUCUUCAACCAUUUGCAAGACCCGAAAUUGGGACCAAAAUUUUGGCCCAAACACAAAUUCAAUUCAGUACAUUCAGCAAGGCCCAAUUCUCUCUCAUUCAACCAAACUCAAGAACCAAUUAAAAUAUACCAAUAGCCCAACAAGAUAAUCUCCCAACCCGUCCCACCUUCUUUUCUAAAAAUAAAUCAAGCCGCAAGUUAAUGACACGCGACAAGGUCAACAACAAUUCUAAACAACCUGGUAUGCAUCCCCAUCUUCCCAAACGCGUAAACAACGCCCAACAACAAUCACAAAGAAUGAUUUUAAUCUCGAACAUGUGAAAUGGUCCUCGCGCUUUCGUGUGGAUCCACGUAGCCUUCAAGGACGAUCGAUCGAUCAAAUCCGUCUAUUUUUCUUUCCUCUUCUAGAAUGGAGCUAAAUUUUCAAAAAAGGUUAUUUCUCUAAAAUGGUGAAAGAAUUUUGAGUUUUGAUUCGGGGGUGGGCCUCGUUCUUAUCGAUUUCUCUCCUUUUCCCCAAAUUCUGAACCCUAAUAUCUUCACAUAUUUACCUCAUCUUUUCACUGUGAGCGGGGGAAUUUCUUUGGGAGAAAAGAAAUUUUUUGUGAUAGACAUAGAGAGUUGUAAACAGAAAAAAUGAAGGGGAUGUUUGGAUAAUAUUUUUGUAAAAAAAAUUGUUUCAAUUAGAUGAGACAUUAGAGAAAGAUUUGGAUAUUAGCUCAGUCUUAGCAUUUGUCCGCUUUGUUUUGUCCUUCCAAGUUUUUUGGGAUUCGUCAUUUCAGUGCACAAGUCGUUAAUAGCUCGUUGGUUUCAGUUAGAUGCCAGAGAAAAGAGUCACUUGGACUCCACUCUUGCAUAUCCUUGAGUCUUAUCGAGUCAAGAUUUGGUAUUCGGGGGGAGAAAUAGAGGCUAAUGCAAGCCUCCAAAGUCUCAAGAAAGGGAUCGAGGGGCUCGAGGAGCUAAAUUAGGAUGUAUAAAAAGAGUAUACAAUCCAACAUACAGGGGAAAUCACUAAAAUACACCCCAUGUACGGAAGUAUAAGAUCACUGUAUAUGCUGGAUUUUGGAAGGAAAACAGGCCCAAAGGCCUAAAAAUUUACAACAGCAAAAUGUGGGCAAAAAGCCCAAAUUUGAUAUUUCCUUUCCUUCUUAUUUAUUUAUCAUUAUAUUUAACUAACAAUAUAUAUGACCUUGGUUUUAUUUAAUUAAUUCCCGAUGA
This is a long non-coding RNA of Solanum pennellii, 1271 nucleotides long. RefSeq lists it as uncharacterized. The record is from RefSeq and is a predicted model, not a curated record. The transcript has 2 exons. Lineage: Eukaryota; Viridiplantae; Streptophyta; Magnoliopsida; Solanales; Solanaceae.